UCACAAUUAGCAUAAAAUAAAAUCAGAAUAAAAAAAUAAUAUCUAAACAAAUAAACUUGCAAUAAUUAAAGAUAAUAGUUGGGUAGAUUCCAUAUUCUGUACAGAAUUUAAAAUUGUUUGAUGGUAAACAGUCUCUUUUGUCUCAAAAUCCCACAUAUUAGUAAGUUGCAACCAAUCUUGUAAACUAUAUAUAAACAAAAGCAAAGAGAUUUUACACUAAAAGAAUAUCUUUCUGUUCAAUAUUUGGUACAAAAGAAUGAUAAACAAAAACUGGAAACUCAGUGUAGAUCAACAAUAAUGUUUCUGUUCAUCUGUUCCUAUCGACGUACUUGUAAGAAAACAAGAAGGCAAAAGAAGCAAGAUAAAUCCGACCACAGUAUCAAAAUUUCAAGAAGACGAACAUAAAAAAAUAAAAUAUUAAUAAAUUAUAUUUUAAUUUAUUUUUCAUGAUAUAAUUAAAUAUUAAAAAAUAUUUUUUAACUUAUUUUUUAUUAUAUUAUCAAACAACGAAAAAUACUUAAAUUUUUCAAAACUUACUUUUCAAAAGAAACUAAUUUCCAAUAAAAAAACAGUACUAAGCAUGUUUGCUGCUUGAAAAGGCUAAGCUUAUUGCUUGCAUAACGCAACAACUGAUACAAUUCACCAAAGAAUACUUGAAAAACUUUCACGUCUCUUCGUCGUGAGUCUGCAUCACUCCAUUAACAAAAGGCUAGUUAAAUGUUUUCAUAAAAUAAACAUUGUUUUUCUUUUUUAAAUGCUCAUAUUCUUUAAUAAAAAAAAUAUCAAAAAUCAAAUUCCCCUUUAAACAGAAGGAAACCCGGAAGCUGAAAAACCAACCCCAAUCCCAAAAACACCAAAAAUAAACCCAAAUCAAUAAGCUUCAAAUUAUAAGUUGUACCACCAUCACCAACAAUCACAAGCUUGAAGUUUGUACAUAAUCAACAAUUUGCUGAUUAGACAAAGCCUACACAAAUUACUAAUAAACAAAAAUCAUAAAAAAAAACAUUGAGAUUAUUGCAAUAUAGAAAAUGAAAAUGAAUCAAGAGAGGGACGUUGCAUUGUUGAUGGCGGGUUGGGUGGUUGUUAGAAAUCUAAAGUGGGUGGGAGAGAGAUCAGAAUAAGGGUUUGAAUUGAAAUCAAAUAAAAACAAGAAAUGGGAAGAAGAUAGAAUUACUAAGUUUUAAUUUCUUUUAAAAUUAUCAACGAAAACGAAAUCUACUUCGGUAAUUUAACACGUCAGAAAUACCAACAUAUUUUUUCUUAUUUCCUCGCCAUUUUCAUCAAAAACUACUAACAGAGAAUUGAUUGAUUUGUGACAGAAAGCCUAUUAGACACCAAAUUGGAUGAAAGAUGAUGAGAGAAGUGUCUUCCUUCCAGAAUGUGAAAUUAUUUCCUACGCCAUCUAAAAGAAACCCCAAAAAGAGAAAGAAACAGAUCUCACACGCAUGUCAUCAGAUACGAGAAAGAUGUUGAUAGAUCACAGAUGUGUUCAGUAUUGUUCUCCAAGACCUUUCAACCAAAACACACAGCACUUUGGUCAGAAAUGUUUUCUUCUCACUAUUAGAACUUAGACAGGCCUAUACCCUCAAAGGAUAUGAUAUCAAGCAUAAUUCAUGUCAGAAAGAAUCACCCUUGAGAAUUGUAGGAAAAAUUGAAUUUAAGAUAUUUUCAACCAAGCUCCACUUGUUUCCUUGUGAGGAAAAAAAGUAGAUAAAAAAUUAAAA
This 1724-nucleotide long non-coding RNA is filed under the name Populus tremula. Its description in RNAcentral is "long non-coding RNA (PTRE_LNC002700)". Lineage: Eukaryota; Viridiplantae; Streptophyta; Magnoliopsida; Malpighiales; Salicaceae. The record is from RNAcentral.